RNAcentral lists this ribosomal RNA (794 nucleotides) under uncultured bacterium. RNAcentral describes it as "bacterial SSU rRNA". It matches the Rfam family "Bacterial small subunit ribosomal RNA", at positions 8 to 796 of the family's 1533-position model. The record is from RNAcentral.
AGAGUUUGAUCAUGGCUCAGAUUGAACGCUGGCGGCAUGCCUAACACAUGCAAGUCGAACGGUAACAGGCCCUUCGGGGUGCUGACGAGUGGCAGACGGGUGAGCAAUACGUAGGAAUCUGCCCUGUAGUGGGGGAUAGCUCGGCGAAAGCCGGAUUAAUACCGCAUACGAUCUACGGAUGAAAGCGGGGGACCGUAAGGCCUCGCGCUAUAGGAUGAGCCUACGUCUGAUUAGCUAGUUGGUAGGGUAACGGCCUACCAAGGCGACGAUCAGUAGCUGGUCUGAGAGGAUGAUCAGCCACACCGGAACUGAGACACGGUCCGGACUCCUACGGGAGGCAGCAGUGGGGAAUAUUGGACAAUGGGGGAAACCCUGAUCCAGCAAUGCCGCGUGUGUGAAGAAGGCCUGCGGGUUGUAAAGCACUUUUGUUGGGGAAGAAAAGCCGUCGGAUAACACCUGGCGGUCUUGACGGUACCCAAAGAAUAAGCACCGGCUAACUCCGUGCCAGCAGCCGCGGUAAUACGGAGGGUGCGAGCGUUAAUCGGAAUUACUGGGCGUAAAGCGCGCGUAGGCGGUUUGAUAAGUCGGGUGUGAAAGCCCCGGGGCUUAACCUGGGAAUUGCAUUCGAUACUGUCUGACUCGAGUCUGGGAGAGGGAAGCGGAAUUCCGGGUGUAGCGGUGAAAUGCGUAGAUAUCCGGAGGAACAUCAGUGGCGAAGGCGGCUUCCUGGCCUAAGACUGACGCUGAGGUGCGAAAGCGUGGGGAGCAAACAGGAUUAGAUACCCUAGUAGUCC